This 246-nucleotide ribosomal RNA is filed under the name uncultured organism. RNAcentral's name for it is "partial 16S ribosomal RNA". It matches the Rfam family "Bacterial small subunit ribosomal RNA", at positions 346 to 584 of the family's 1533-position model. The record is from RNAcentral.
GCGCAGCAGGCGCGAAUUUUUCUCAAUGGGGGCAACCCUGAAGGAGCGACGCCGCGUGGAGGAUGAAGGCUUUCGGGUUGUAAACUCCUGUCAUUUGAGAACAAGUGGCCGAACCUAACUACUUCGGCCUUGAUAGUAUCAGAAGAGGAAGGGACGGCUAACUCUGUGCCAGCCAGCCGCGGUAAUACAGAGGUCCCAAGCGUUGUUCGGAUUCAUUGGGCGUAAAGGGUGCGUAGGUGGCGCCGU